GUCUGUGGCCAUACCACCCUAAAACCAUCCCGAUCUUGUCUGAUCUCAUGAAGUUAAGCAGGGUCAGGUCUGGUUAGAAGUUGGAUGGGAGACUUAAGCUCUACUCCUGAGUAUUCCUAUUU
This is a ribosomal RNA of Cebus imitator (Panamanian white-faced capuchin), 122 nucleotides long. The record is from Ensembl. NCBI's taxonomy places the organism in Eukaryota, Metazoa, Chordata, Mammalia, Primates, Cebidae.